GUAGUCCUAGCCGUAAACGGUGAGCACUAGGUGUAGGAGGCAUCGACCCCUCCUGUGCCGCAGCUAACGCAUUAAGUGCUCCGCCUGGGGAGUACGACCGCAAGGUUGAAACUCAAAGGAAUUGACGGGGGCCCGCACAAGCGGUGGAGCAUGUGGUUUAAUUCGAUGCAACGCGAAGAACCUUACCCAGAUUUGACAUGCACUGGACCGGUGUGGAAACACACCUUCCCUUCGGGGCUGGUGCACAGGUGCUGCAUGGCUGUCGUCAGCUCGUGUCGUGAGAUGUUGGGUUAAGUCCCGCAACGAGCGCAACCCUUGUCCUUAGUUGCCAGCAGGUAAAGCUGGGCACUCUAGGGAGACUGCCGUCGAUAAGGCGGA
RNAcentral lists this ribosomal RNA (378 nucleotides) under uncultured bacterium. RNAcentral describes it as "bacterial SSU rRNA". It matches the Rfam family "Bacterial small subunit ribosomal RNA", at positions 790 to 1167 of the family's 1533-position model. The record is from RNAcentral.